CAACUAGGAUGUUGGCUUAGAAGCAGCCAUCAUUUAAAGAGUGCGUAAUAGCUCACUAGUCGAGUGACACUGCGCCGAAAAUGUACCGGGGCUAAACAUAUUACCGAAGCUGUGGAUUGUCCUUUGGACAAUGGUAGGAGAGCGUUCUAAGGGCGUUGAAGCAUGAUCGUAAGGACAUGUGGAGCGCUUAGAAGUGAGAAUGCCGGUGUGAGUAGCGAAAGACGGGUGAGAAUCCCGUCCACCGAUUGACUAAGGUUUCCAGAGGAAGGCUCGUCCGCUCUGGGUUAGUCGGGUCCUAAGCUGAGGCCGACAGGCGUAGGCGAUGGAUAACAGGUUGAUAUUCCUGUACCACCUAUAAUCGUUUUAAUCGAUGGGGGGACGCAGUAGGAUAGGCGAAGCGUGCGAUUGGAUUGCACGUCUAAGCAGUAAGGCUGAGUAUUAGGCAAAUCCGGUACUCGUUAAGGCUGAGCUGUGAUGGGGAGAAGACAUUGUGUCUUCGAGUCGUUGAUUUCACACUGCCGAGAAAAGCCUCUAGAUAGAAAAUAGG
This 547-nucleotide ribosomal RNA is filed under the name Enterococcus faecium. Its description in RNAcentral is "partial 23S ribosomal RNA". It matches the Rfam family "Bacterial large subunit ribosomal RNA", at positions 1090 to 1638 of the family's 2925-position model. The record is from RNAcentral. Lineage: Bacteria; Bacillati; Bacillota; Bacilli; Lactobacillales; Enterococcaceae.